This 495-nucleotide long non-coding RNA is filed under the name Buteo japonicus. RNAcentral describes it as "lncRNA (ENSBJAG00000012535.1)". Lineage: Eukaryota; Metazoa; Chordata; Aves; Accipitriformes; Accipitridae. The record is from RNAcentral.
GGCUGACGUGCUCCUGCAGCUCCUCCAUGUGCUCCAGCACGGCCGUCUUGGUCUCCGAGUCCUCCAGCAUGGCCCCCACGUCAAAGACGUUGUCCAGGUCCCAGGAGAAGCGGCAGCAAAGUCCUCGCCAGCAAAACCUUCCAGCCGGAGCAGACCCCGUCCCCAUCGGCCACCAGCCGAAGGCUCCAGCCGAACCCUCCCAGCUUCACCUCCACCACACCUUCGAUUCACAGGAUUUCCAACCUGCCGCCACCCAGCCGGGCAGAAAGCACCGUUUCCUGAGGCCUCGCAGCAGCAGCGGAAGCACCCCGAGGUCCCCGGCCACCCGUCACCGCCACCGCGUCACCCAGGAGCCAUCACAGGCACUGCCACCCAGCUCAGCCACCCGCUGCCCUCUGCGCCCACGGCGAUGGGCGUCCCACGGCAAAGCCCCAUCCUUGGGGAUUUUGGGGGUCCCAUGAGGAUCCCCACCUUGCAAAGCCCUUCGCCAUCAUC